AUUUAAGCACGACUCUGCAGAAGGAACAAAGCACCCUCCCCCUGGGCUCCUGGUUGCAGAGCUCCAAGUCCUCACACAGAUACACCUGUUUGAGAAGCAGCGGGCAAGAAAGACGCAAGCCCAGAGGUCCAUCCAAGCUGAGCAAUCGCGCUGACUCAAGAAGAAGCCUUUGGGACCAAGGAAACUUUCCCCUGAUCAUCAAGAAUCUUAAGAUAGAAGACUCAGAUACUUACAUCUGUGAAGUGGAGGACCAGAAGGAGGAGGUGCAAUUGCUAGUGUUCGGAUGUGAGUGGGGCAGGUGGGGAUGAGGAUACCUCCUGCCUGGUUCCCUUCCCCUCUACUCCCACCUCUGCACCAAAUCCAGCCUGAGCUGGUGAUACCGCAGCAGCCCCAAGAGGACCAGGCUGUCAAACUGGCCUCCAAAUCUCUAAAACCCUUCUUGAUCAGGUGGGGGAUGCUGGUGGGCGGAGGAGGGAAGAGGCCUUGGGAAAAGGAAAGAAAAGGGAAGGAGGCAAGGGAAGGAGGGAGAUAGACUGGGGAAGAGAGGAUGAGGGGAGAGGAGGAAAGAAGAGAGAGAGGAGGGGAGAGGGAAACCCUUUCUUGGCUGGGGGUGGGCAGCUGGGUGCUGGGAGGAAGGAGAUGUUGGGACGGGGACAAUGGAGAGAUGUUCUUGGUUUCCUGUCAUCUGCCCUUCUCCUUGGGGAUGGUAUGUGUGUGACACAGCUGGCCUUUCCCUCCACAGUGACUGCCAACUCUGACACCCACCUGCUUCAGGGGCAGAGCCUGACCCUGACCUUGGAGAGCCCCCCUGGUAGUAGCCCCUCAGUGCAAUGUAGGAGUCCAACGGGUAAAAACAUACAGGCGGGGAAGACCCUCUCCGUGUCUCAGCUGGAGCUCCAGGAUAGUGGCACCUGGACAUGCACCGUCUUGCAAGACCAGAAGAAGGUGGAGUUCAAAAUAGACAUCGUGGUGCUAGGUAAGGGAAGCCCCUCUUCCUGCAGUCUCCUUCCUGCCCCGGGGGCUGACAGCCCCUCCCUCUGCUCUGACUGCCCUG
RNAcentral lists this small RNA (1054 nucleotides) under Pongo abelii (Sumatran orangutan). Its description in RNAcentral is "retained intron". The record is from RNAcentral. Lineage: Eukaryota; Metazoa; Chordata; Mammalia; Primates; Hominidae.